This is a long non-coding RNA of Aethina tumida (small hive beetle), 520 nucleotides long. RefSeq lists it as uncharacterized. Lineage: Eukaryota; Metazoa; Arthropoda; Insecta; Coleoptera; Nitidulidae. The transcript is spliced from 4 exons. The record is from RefSeq and is a predicted model, not a curated record.
UUUAAGUGUUAAGUAAAUUAAUUGGCAGUCAGAGCCAAUAAAAUCAUCAUCAUACCUUAAAAACUGGUCUUGAUAGAUGAUUUGUAAUGGGUGUUUUAUAUUCUGUGUCCAAAAAAUGCUCAGGAACAGAAGAAAAAUUGUUGGCACCAAAAUGUGGAGUUGGAUAAAUGAAUAUUUUUAAGGAACAUAACCUAAAAUUAUUACAUGAUAUCCGACUACAGUUGAAGUCUUCAGCGAGGCUGUACAAAUAACCCUCAUACUAGAAAGUGGUGGAAAACAAAAAUUUUAAGUGUUAAGUAAAUUAAUUGGCAGUCAGAGCCAAUAAAAUCAUCAUCAUACCUUAAAAACUGGUCUUGAUAGAUGAUUUGUAAUGGGUGUUUUAUAUUCUGUGUCCAAAAAUUGCUCAGGAACAGUACAAAAAUCGUUGGCACCAAAUUGUGGAGUUGGAUAAAUGAAUAUUUUUAAGGUUAUGGGACAUUUAUCAACCCCAAUAUUUGAGAUACAGACAAUUUAGUUCUGA